RNAcentral lists this ribosomal RNA (155 nucleotides) under uncultured fungus. Its description in RNAcentral is "5.8S ribosomal RNA". The stretch from base 1 to 60 matches the Rfam family "5.8S ribosomal RNA", at positions 95 to 154 of the family's 154-position model. The record is from RNAcentral. Lineage: Eukaryota; Fungi.
AAUCUUUGAACGCACCUUGCGCUCCUUGGUAUUCCUUGGAGCAUGCCUGUUUGAGUAUCAUGAAAUCUUCAAAGUCAAUCUUUUGUUAACUCAAUUGGUUGUGCUUUGGUAUUGGAGGUAUAUUGCAGCUUUCACACCCUGCUCCUCUUUGURCA